This 134-nucleotide small nucleolar RNA is filed under the name Aotus nancymaae (Ma's night monkey). Its description in RNAcentral is "Small nucleolar RNA SNORA31 (ENSANAG00000004733.1)". It matches the Rfam family "Small nucleolar RNA SNORA31". Rfam says of the family: ACA31 (SNORA31) belongs to the H/ACA class of snoRNAs which are thought to guide the sites of modification of uridines to pseudouridines. ACA31 is predicted to guide the pseudouridylation of U3713 in 28S rRNA and U218 in 18S rRNA. This family includes the mouse homologue snoMBI-161. Lineage: Eukaryota; Metazoa; Chordata; Mammalia; Primates; Aotidae. The record is from Rfam by way of RNAcentral.
AUGCAUCUAUUUGACAGACUUGGAGCAGUUACUAUCUGCUGCUAAGGUCUUCACUACAGAUGCAAGAAAAACAUGUCCUUGCAUUUUCCAUCUAUCUAAUUGUGGCAGCUGAGAUUGACUAGAGGAAUACAGGG